This is a long non-coding RNA of Rhododendron vialii, 818 nucleotides long. RefSeq lists it as uncharacterized. The transcript is spliced from 2 exons. The record is from RefSeq and is a predicted model, not a curated record. NCBI's taxonomy places the organism in Eukaryota, Viridiplantae, Streptophyta, Magnoliopsida, Ericales, Ericaceae.
AGUAAGCAAGUUUCGGGCCCUUCAUCAGAGAAAAGGAAACAACCUUUAGAGCAAGUACACCAGAGGGUAGCUAAGCUAUCUUGUGAAUAUUUCACAAUUCUAAUUUAUCUAUCAACUCUUUCUUUCACAACUACAUCAACAUUAUCUAUUUACUAAACACCGAAUAAAAUACACAUUUUCUCACUCUUUUUCCUUAUCUUUUUAUUUUUAUCAUUUUGGAUCACAGGCCACUAUUGAAACGGAAAAACCUACAAAUCUCUCUCUCCAAAACCACCAAAAAAACCCACAAAUCAAAACCCACAAAUUGAACCCAACAAUCAAAACCCACAAUCAAACCUCAAAUUGAAGCCAACAAUCAAACAUCAAACCCACCAAGGACGGAAGUGGACCAGCAGAUGGAAGAGAGAAGGUGAAGAACUUCCUAGCAAGAGCAGGGAGGAGGAGAGAGAGAGAAACAAUAAUAUUUUGUUUUUACCUAAUCUGCUGCAGCUUGAUUUUCUGUGUUUUGCUUCGUUACUUCACCGAAAUCCUCCUUUUACCUAUGCUGGUGUUGUUGCUCUUACAUCUAAGGCAUAAAAGCAUUCCAAUAGUAAGUUUACAAAUAGAUACAAAUAUCUAACACACUUAUGCAUGACAAUUAGGCUCUGCUUCCUCCAACUCACCCUCCUCAGCAAGCCUCGAGUCCUUGUACACAUACCACUUGGCACCAACCAAAAACAAGAAAAAGUUCAAAACGCUUAGAAUUGCCAAAAGCCAAUAGAAAUUGUAGAGCCUCCCUUGGUUGAGAUUAUCAGCUAGCCAUGGCCUUCUAUCCCCAG